CUUCCCCAUGAUUGAUUUAGAGAAAUUAAAACUUAUUGUAAAACUGAUUUAUCAGAUAUUUACUGUUUUUUGUGUGGUUUUUGAAUGUUUUUUAUACUUAUAGAACUCUGUGACUCUUUGAAUAAUAAAGAGUCUAUUAUUUUGGUCAUUGAGGAAUAAUUAUAGAAUAUUUCUUAUCUAGUACUUUUGGGUUAGUAAGGUUCAAGUGAGAAGCAUCCUAAGUUUUGCUUUGUUAGUGUUUAGCAUUUACUCAAAGAAAUGAUAUAUGAAAUUUUACAAGCAAUAUAAGAAAGAAAUGGAAUCUGAAAAUAUACCUAUAUUAAGCCAUAUGCAUUUAUCAUUGUGAUAUAUUAAAUUAAGGAAAAGGAAAUGGAGAAGAUUGAUUAUUAUUUUUUUUUAUUUUGGAAGACAAAUCAGACUAAUUCCACAACAUGUCUGAUUUUAAAUGUUUGGCUUUCUCCAUGUCAAAAAUGUUUUCUCUUUUAUACACUUUACUGAGGUUAUUAAAUAUUACUCUCCAGGACUAAAGUACCAUUAGAUACUCUCCAAGUUAGAAAGAUGAAUAAAGCCCUUGGAAUUAGAGCAAGAUUACACAUUUAAGAGUGAUGAAAAUGAGUUUGGACUUCUUCAAUUCAUCAAGCCUCUUGAUGCCAUAAGGAAAAUCUACCAGCCUGAUUAAAACUGAAUGUCUUGGAUUUGGGGGGGGGAAGUCAAUUCAAGGGACAGAUUUAGAUGUCACAGAGUUGGUAGCUCAAAUUCUGGGAUUAGAGUAGAUCACUCAAGAAAAGGAAGUAGAAUAAGAAAUGAAACGUCUAGGGAAAUCAUACAAAUAAAGAGAAAGAAAAACAGAGAAAAACAAGCAGAAUUUGAAGAGUUAAGAGACUGUGAAAAUGAUAGACAAGAAAGAAGCAAUUUUAAGAAAAUGAAGAGCUCAAAUAUCUAAUGUUUCAUGUUGUUUUUGGCAUAUUGAGUGAGAAAGGGGAAUUUAGUUAAUUAAUUCAUGGAUAUAUUUAAUAGCUUUAAAGAGAUAUACCUUGAGCCCUAAAAUAUUGAAGCCUGAAUGGAAAAUAAAAUGGAAACUGCAGUUAAGACUGUCAAAGAUUAUUUCAAUACA
RNAcentral lists this long non-coding RNA (1114 nucleotides) under Capra hircus (goat). RNAcentral describes it as "lncRNA (ENSCHIG00010006369.1)". Lineage: Eukaryota; Metazoa; Chordata; Mammalia; Artiodactyla; Bovidae. The record is from RNAcentral.